GGAGAGGUGUCCGAGUGGCUGAAGGAGCACGCUUGGAAAGCGUGUAUAGGGUAACCCCCUAUCGAGGGUUCGAAUCCCUCCCUCUCCG
This 88-nucleotide transfer RNA is filed under the name Candidatus Zhuqueibacterota bacterium. Its description in RNAcentral is "candidate division KSB1 bacterium tRNA-Ser". It matches the Rfam family "tRNA". From Rfam's summary of the family: Transfer RNA (tRNA) molecules are approximately 80 nucleotides in length. Their secondary structure includes four short double-helical elements and three loops (D, anti-codon, and T loops). Lineage: Bacteria; Pseudomonadati. The record is from RNAcentral.